Molecule: ribosomal RNA, 253 nt
Filed under: uncultured bacterium
Lineage: Bacteria
Description: partial 16S ribosomal RNA
Rfam family: Bacterial small subunit ribosomal RNA
Source: RNAcentral
UACGGGGGGGGCAAGCGUUACUCGGAAUUAUUGGGCGUAAAGGGCGCGUAGGCGGUCGUGUGCGUCAGAGGUGAAAUCCCCCGGCUUAACUGGGGACGUGCCUCUGAUACGGCAUGGCUCGAGUCCGGGAGAGGGGAGCAGAAUUCCCAGUGUAGCGGUGAAAUGCGUAGAUAUUGGGAGGAAUACCGGUGGCGAAGGCGGCUCCCUGGACCGGUACUGACGCUGAGGCGCGAAAGCGUGGGUAGCAAACAGG